GUUGGGCGCAGAGGCGUACGCCUGUAAUCCCAGCAGCCAAGGAGGCUGAGGCAGGAGGAUCGCAAGUUCAAUGCCAGCCUCAGCAACUUAGCGAGGACCUAAGCAACUCAGUGAGACCCUGUCUCAA
RNAcentral lists this small RNA (127 nucleotides) under Marmota monax (woodchuck). The record is from RNAcentral. Lineage: Eukaryota; Metazoa; Chordata; Mammalia; Rodentia; Sciuridae.